UACGUAGGGUGCAAGCGUUAAUCGGAAUUACUGGGCGUAAAGCGUGCGCAGGCGGUUUUGUAAGUCUGUCGUGAAAUCCCCGGGCUCAACCUGGGAAUUGCGAUGGAGACUGCAAGGCUAGAAUCUGGCAGAGGGGGGUAGAAUUCCACGUGUGAGCAGUGAAAUGCGUAGAGAUGUGAGGAACACCGAUGGCGAAGGCAGCCCCUGGGUCAAGAUUGACGCUCAUGCACGAAAGG
Molecule: ribosomal RNA, 236 nt
Filed under: uncultured bacterium
Lineage: Bacteria
Description: partial 16S ribosomal RNA
Rfam family: Bacterial small subunit ribosomal RNA
Source: RNAcentral